This 539-nucleotide ribosomal RNA is filed under the name Bjerkandera adusta. Its description in RNAcentral is "eukaryotic LSU rRNA". The stretch from base 182 to 335 matches the Rfam family "5.8S ribosomal RNA". The record is from RNAcentral. Lineage: Eukaryota; Fungi; Basidiomycota; Agaricomycetes; Polyporales; Phanerochaetaceae.
AGGGUUGUCUGCUGGCUCGCAAGGGCAUGUGCACGCCUGUCUCAUCCACUCUCAACUUCUGUGCACUUUUCAUAGGCCGGCUUGUGGGUGCGUUCGCGCACUUGUAGGUGUCGGGCUUAUGCUUUACUACAAACGAUUCAGUUUUAGAAUGUCAUACUUUGCUAUAACGCAAUUUAUAUACAACUUUCAGCAACGGAUCUCUUGGCUCUCGCAUCGAUGAAGAACGCAGCGAAAUGCGAUAAGUAAUGUGAAUUGCAGAAUUCAGUGAAUCAUCGAAUCUUUGAACGCACCUUGCGCUCCUUGGUAUUCCGAGGAGCAUGCCUGUUUGAGUCUCAUGGAAUUCUCAACCUUCGGCUUUAUUGACGAAGGCUUGGACUUGGAGGUCGUGCCGGCUCUCGUAGUCGGCUCCUCUGAAAUGCAUUAGUGCGAACGUUACCAGCCGCUUCAGCGUGAUAAUUAUCUGCGUUGCUGUGGAGGGUAUUCUAGUGUUCGCGCUUCUAACCGUCUUCGGACAAAUUUCUGAACUCUGAGCUCAAAUC